Molecule: non-coding RNA, 72 nt
Organism: Podarcis lilfordi (Lilford's wall lizard)
Lineage: Eukaryota; Metazoa; Chordata; Lepidosauria; Squamata; Lacertidae
Source: the annotation of a GenBank genome assembly
AGAGACAUAGUUCCGUGGUAGAGUAUCUGAUUGGCAUGCAGAAGGUCCCAGGUUCAUUCCCUGGUGUCUCCA